UCAGUCUCAACCUUGCGGAGAUACCUGAUAAAACUUGGAUUUAAGCUUAAGAUGGUUAACAAAAGAGCUGCUGUAAUGGAAUUGCCAGGUGGUGUAUAGAAUAUUUGAGGAAAAUUUAAAAAAUUUGGGAGGAAGAAAGAUCCAUAUAUUAUUUAGCCGAAACAUGAUAUGAUACAUUUAUGAUUGAUGUAUGAUUUCCAUUCUCUGGGAAAAAAGUCCCUUUUUUGCCAUAGUAAGAAAACCAUAUUUUUAUUAAUAAAACAAGUUUAAAAUUUUGUUUUUUACAGCUUACUGCCCCUGUUGUCCUUCAGUGAUACAAUAAAGACUGCUUCUUCCACCAUUCUCUGGGAAAAACACUUUUUUGCUAUGCUUACUACCCCUGUUGUCCUUCAGCAACACAAUGAAGACUGCUUCUUCCUCCAUUCUCUGGAAAAAAGUCCCUUUUUUGCCAUACUUACUGCCCCUGUUUGUCCUUCAGCGACACAAUAAAGUAUAUAUAAUGUAAUGCUUUAGUAUCCAUAUGCUGAUGUGCGAGAUGAAGUUGGAAUCCAUGGCGGCAACAGAGAAACUGUUUCCUUCCUUAAUGGAAGAAUCUGCUAAAGAACAAUGGCAAAAAAACAGAAUUUACAACAUUUGUAUUAACU
Anthonomus grandis grandis is the source of this 644-nucleotide long non-coding RNA. RefSeq lists it as uncharacterized. The record is from RefSeq and is a predicted model, not a curated record. The transcript has 3 exons. Lineage: Eukaryota; Metazoa; Arthropoda; Insecta; Coleoptera; Curculionidae.